ACUCCUACGGGAGGCAGCAGUGGGAAUAUUGCACAAUGGGGGAAAGCCCUCGAUGCAGCCAUGCCGCGUGUGUGAAGAAGGCCUUCGGGUUGUAAAGCACUUUCAGUAGGGAGGAAGGUAGUGUAGUUAACACCUGCACUAUUUGACGUUACCUACAGAAGAAGCACCGGCUAACUCCGUGCCAGCAGCCGCGGUAAUACGGAGGGUGCGAGCGUUAAUCGGAAUUACUGGGCGUAAAGCGUGCGCAGGCGGUCUGUUAAGCGAGAUGUGAAAGCCCCAGCUCAAGCCUGG
RNAcentral lists this ribosomal RNA (291 nucleotides) under uncultured bacterium. Its description in RNAcentral is "partial 16S ribosomal RNA". It matches the Rfam family "Bacterial small subunit ribosomal RNA", at positions 335 to 617 of the family's 1533-position model. The record is from RNAcentral.